This 439-nucleotide ribosomal RNA is filed under the name uncultured bacterium. RNAcentral describes it as "partial 16S ribosomal RNA". It matches the Rfam family "Bacterial small subunit ribosomal RNA", at positions 339 to 795 of the family's 1533-position model. The record is from RNAcentral.
CUACGGGUUGCAGCAGUGAGGAAUACUGCACAAUGGAGGAAACUCUGAUGCAGCAACGCCGCGUGGAGGAUGACGCAUUUCGGUGUGUAAACUCCUUUUAUGAGUCAAGAAAAUGACGGUAGCUCAUGAAUAAGCACCGGCUAACUCCGUGCCAGCAGCCGCGGUAAUACGGAGGGUGCAAGCGUUACUCGGAAUCACUGGGCGUAAAGGACGCGUAGGCGGGAUAUCAAGUCAGGUGUGAAAUCCUACAGCUUAACUGUAGAACUGCACUUGAAACUGGUAACCUAGAGUAUGGGAGGGGGAGAUGGAAUUAGUGGUGUAGGGGCAAAAUCCGUAGAUAUCACUAGGAAUACCUAAAGCGAAGGCGAUCUCCUGGAACAUAACUGACGCUAAGGCGUGAAAGCGUGGGGAGCAAACAGGAUUAGAUACCCCCGUAGUC